This 222-nucleotide long non-coding RNA is filed under the name Hordeum vulgare. RNAcentral's name for it is "long non-coding RNA (HVUL_LNC010434)". Lineage: Eukaryota; Viridiplantae; Streptophyta; Magnoliopsida; Poales; Poaceae. The record is from RNAcentral.
GAGAAAAGGAUGGCGGACAAAGACAAGAAGGCGCUGGAGCAACGUCACAAUGAAUGGGCAGCUAAAUUUAAGAUUGCUUACGCAGAGGGUGUAGCAAAGAGAGAGCGGGAGGAGGAACUCUUCAUGGAGAGGGUGCUGGAAGAGGCUUCAAAAAUGCGCAAAAGGGAAGACGAAGAGGAUGAAGAGAGGAAGAAGAAAAAGGGGAAGGGGCCUUGCUCGACG